GAUGAACGCUGGCGGCGUGCCUAAUACAUGCAAGUCGAGCGAACAGACGAGGAGCUUGCUCCUCUGACGUUAGCGGCGGACGGGUGAGUAACACGUGGAUAACCUACCUAUAAGACUGGGAUAACUUCGGGAAACCGGAGCUAAUACCGGAUAAUAUAUUGAACCGCAUGGUUCAAUAGUGAAAGACGGUUUUGCUGUCACUUAUAGAUGGAUCCGCGCCGCAUUAGCUAGUUGGUAAGGUAACGGCUUACCAAGGCGACGAUGCGUAGCCGACCUGAGAGAGUGAUCGGCCACACUGGAACUGAGACACGGUCCAGACUCCUACGGGAGGCAGCAGUAGGGAAUCUUCCGCAAUGGGCGAAAGCCUGACGGAGCAACGCCGCGUGAGUGAUGAAGGUCUUCGGAUCGUAAAACUCUGUUAUUAGGGAAGAACAAAUGGGUAAGUAACUAUGCACGUCUUGACGGUACCUAAUCAGAAAGCCACGGCUAACUACGUG
Molecule: ribosomal RNA, 497 nt
Filed under: uncultured bacterium
Lineage: Bacteria
Description: partial 16S ribosomal RNA
Rfam family: Bacterial small subunit ribosomal RNA
Source: RNAcentral